AUUGAACGCUGGCGGCAUGCUUUACACAUGCAAGUCGAACGGCAGCGGGGAGGAGCUUGCUUCUCUGCCGGCGCGUGGCGAACGGGUGAGUAAUACAUCGGAACGUGUCGAGAAGAGGGGGAUAACCACCCGAAAGGGUGGCUAAUACAGCAUAAAUUCUGAGGAAGAAAGCUGGGGACCUAGGAAUAGGCCUAGCGCUUUUUGAGCGGCCGAUGUCGGAUUAGCUAGUUGGUGAGGUAAAGGCUCACCAAGGCGAAGAUCUGUAGCGGGUCUGAGAGGAUGAUCCGCCACACUGGAACUGAGACACGGCCCAGACUCCUACGGGAGGCAGCAGUGGGGAAUUUUGGACAAUGGGGGCAACCCUGAUCCAGCCAUGCCGCGUGUAUGAAGAAGGCCUUAGGGUUGUAAAGUACUUUUGUUAGUGAAGAAAAGUCAGCUGUGAAUAAUGGCUGAUACUGACGGUACCUAAAGAAUAAGCACCGGCUAACUACGUG
This 494-nucleotide ribosomal RNA is filed under the name uncultured bacterium. RNAcentral's name for it is "partial 16S ribosomal RNA". It matches the Rfam family "Bacterial small subunit ribosomal RNA", at positions 30 to 507 of the family's 1533-position model. The record is from RNAcentral.